GAUGAAUAACGUAGCGAAAUGCGAUAAGUAGUGUGAAUUGCAGAAUUCAGUGAAUCAUCGAAUCUUUGAACGCACAUUGCGGCCAUAGGUAUUCCUUUGGCCAUGCCUGUUCGAGCGUCAUUUACACCCUCAAGCCUAGCUUGGUGUUGGGCGUCUGUCCCGCCGUUUUCGCGCGCGGACUCGCCUCAAAGUCAUUGGCGGCGGUCGUGCCGGCCCCCUCGCGCAGCACAUUUGCGCUUCUCGGAGGCCCGGCGGAUCCGCGCUCCAGCAAGACCUUUCACGACUUGACCUCGGAUCAGGUAGGGAUACCCGCUGAACUUAAGCAUAUCAAUAAGCGGAGGA
Molecule: unclassified non-coding RNA, 342 nt
Filed under: soil metagenome
Description: partial contains 5.8S ribosomal RNA, internal transcribed spacer 2, and large subunit ribosomal RNA
Rfam family: 5.8S ribosomal RNA (bases 1-120)
Source: RNAcentral